This 30-nucleotide non-coding RNA is filed under the name Mus musculus (house mouse). The record is from RNAcentral. Lineage: Eukaryota; Metazoa; Chordata; Mammalia; Rodentia; Muridae.
UGUUAAAGCAGUAGAGGCAGUAACAGUGUC